Molecule: ribosomal RNA, 467 nt
Filed under: uncultured bacterium
Lineage: Bacteria
Description: partial 16S ribosomal RNA
Rfam family: Bacterial small subunit ribosomal RNA
Source: RNAcentral
GACGGACGCUGGCGGCGUGCUUAACACAUGCAAGUCGAACGGAAAGGCCCCUUUCGGGGGGUACUCGAGUGGCGAACGGGUGAGUAACACGUGAGUAACCUGCCCUUGACUUUGGGAUAACUUCAGGAAACUUGGGCUAAUACCGGAUAGGAGCUCCUGCUGCAUGGUGGGGGUUGGAAAGUUUCGGCGGUUGGGGAUGGACUCGCGGCUUAUCAGCUUGUUGGUGGGGUAGUGGCUUACCAAGGCUUUGACGGGUAGCCGGCCUGAGAGGGUGACCGGCCACAUUGGGACUGAGAUACGGCCCAGACUCCUACGGGAGGCAGCAGUGGGGAAUAUUGCACAAUGGGUGGAAGCCUGAUGCAGCAACGCCGUGUGCGGGAUGACGGCCUUCGGGUUGUAAACCGCUUUCGCUCAUGACGAAGCUUUGUGUGACGGUAGUGGGUAAAGAAGCACCGGCUAACUACGUG